AUGACAACAUGGAAAGGAAAGGACCGUGUAGGUUCUCUAUGUUUUCAUGUAAAUUUCUUGGUGACUAAGUUUUGUGUACUAGGAGACAUGAGAGUUGGUAAACUCAGAACUUCUACUUUUCAAAAUAAGUGUUUAUUUGACCUAAAAAAUUAUCUUAAAAUAACUGUCGUUUUAUUUUUGUAA
Vicia faba (fava bean) is the source of this 183-nucleotide non-coding RNA. The record is from the annotation of a GenBank genome assembly. Lineage: Eukaryota; Viridiplantae; Streptophyta; Magnoliopsida; Fabales; Fabaceae.